UACGUAGGGGCGUAGCGUUAUCCGGAAUUACUGGGCGUAAAGGGUGCGUAGGUGGUUUCUUAAGUCAGAGGUGAAAGGCUACGGCUCAACCGUAGUAAGCCUUUGAAACUGGGAAACUUGAGUGCAGGAGAGGAGAGUGGAAUUCCUAGUGUAGCGGUGAAAUGCGUAGAUAUUAGGAGGAACACCAGUUGCGAAGGCGGCUCUCUGGACUGUAACUGACACUGAGGCACGAAAGCGUGGGGAGCAAACAGGAUUAGAUACCCGCGUAGUCCCUGAG
RNAcentral lists this ribosomal RNA (277 nucleotides) under uncultured prokaryote. RNAcentral describes it as "partial 16S ribosomal RNA". It matches the Rfam family "Bacterial small subunit ribosomal RNA", at positions 524 to 801 of the family's 1533-position model. The record is from RNAcentral.